This is a long non-coding RNA of Bombina bombina (fire-bellied toad), 3304 nucleotides long. RefSeq lists it as uncharacterized. The record is from RefSeq and is a predicted model, not a curated record. The transcript is spliced from 3 exons. NCBI's taxonomy places the organism in Eukaryota, Metazoa, Chordata, Amphibia, Anura, Bombinatoridae.
AUUUUUUUCUUUGUUGCAGAAAGGGCUCCAAGGAAUAUGCGGAAGCUGUGAUUUAAAGGGGUCGACCUUCCGUGCCUCCCUGGCUGGAAACCAACAUCUGCGCGCACCCAUCUGAUUACUUGUUGGAGAUUUUGUCUUGUUGGCUUGGGAGUCCUGGGGGGCGAUAAGGGAGUACGUCCUGAGGAACAGACCACAAACAAAGGACACAAUCUACCCCUUGGACCAGUCUGGAUGACUUCUCUGAUGUACCUCUACCUGGCUUGGAUCAGACACUGUUCUGUGAUGGAAAUUCAAGGAUGGUGAAUGGUUCUCGUCAAUCUGGCUAUGCUGUAGUUUUGACAGAUUCUGUUAUAGAGGCCGAGCCCCUCCCAUCUCACUACAGUGCCCAAGCGGCUGAGCUACAUGCACUCACACAUGCUUGUCAACUCUCAAAGGACAGGUUAGUAAACAUUUACACUGAUUGUAAAUAUGCCUUUGGGAUUGUACACACCACUGGUCAAUUAUGGAAAUUAAGGGGUUUUCUAACUUCUGCUGGUAUCCAAAUUGCCAAUGCACUACAAGUUUAUGCACUCCUUGUCUCAAUCCAUUUACCCACUUCCAUCUCUAUCAUGCAUUACAAAGCACACACCUACUCAUAGGACCCCAUUUCACUUUGUAAUAAUUAUGCUGAUCGAAUUGCUUAGCAUGCAGAUUCUCUGCCACUUAUCCUUCUCUCAGUCACCCCCACUCACAAACCUCACCCUCUUGACAAUACAUUGUGUUCUCUUGACACUUACCUUACUGAACAAAUUGUUCACCUCUGGACUAGUCUUGGUCUUACCUGUGACUCUUUUGGUAUCUGGUUCACUCCAGAUGGACGCCCUGCUCUACCUCAACCACACCUCUCUCUUAUGCUAUCCUUUCUGCAUAAACUGAGGUACCACACAACUUGCUGAAACCCUUAACAGAUACUAGUUUGCCCCCCAGUAUCCAUCAAGCUGCAAAAUGAGUUGUAUUGAAUUGUGUGACUUGUGCUCAAUUCAAUCCAAGGGGGGAACCUAAAGGCCCACCAGGCGGACGCCCAUGGACAUUUCAACCUUUUGAACGUUUACAAAUUGACUUUUCUGACAUACCUCCCUGUAGGGGUUUCAAACAUUUACUUGUGAUUGUGGACCAACUUACUGGAUGGGUUGAGGCCUUUCCUACUAUAACUGUGAAAGCCCAAGAAGUUGCCAAGUGGAUGCUAAAAGAACUUAUACCCAGGUUUGGCCUCCCCAGAAAAUUGAAUCUGACAGAGGAACACAUUUUACAAGUAAUAUUACUCAGCAACUGACAUUAGCCUUAGGCUUUACUUGGCAUCUCCAUAUCCCUUGGCAUCCAGAAAGCUCAGGCCAAGUGGAAAGAAAGAACCAGACCCUAAAACAGACUAUUGCUAAAAUUUGUUCUCAAGCAAGCCUUAAAUGUGUAGAUGCUUUGCCCCUAGCACUCGCACAAACUAUAGGGGGACCCUCAAACUUUCACCAUAUGAACUGUUGUUUGGUAGGCCACCUCUUUUGUAUAGUGUAUAGUGCCAACACCUUACACCUGCCUGACCUUGUGGUGGGUGAUGUACAACUAACUGCCUAUCUUUUGCAACUGCAAAAGCAAUUACAUUCUCUCCACAGACAGGCCUCUCUCUCUCAGCCUUUGCCAUUGGAUGUGACUGCACAUCCCUUCCAGUCAGGUGACUUUAUUUUAGUCAAGACCUAUCAAAAGAAGCCACUGCAGCCUCUCUGGUCCUUACAGGUCCUUACUGGUUUUGCUGACUACUCCAACAAUUAUCAAAGUUGCCGAGGUCAACUCUUGGAUCCAUUACUCCAGGUGUAAAUGAUACAGCCCAGACAAAGAAGCAGCAUGCAACGGACCAAAGAAAGAAGAAGCUGGGGCAACCAAGGCCUCUGAAGAAGGGGUAACCAAGACCCCUAACAACGAGUGGUUAAUUAAGACCCUUGCUGGUUUGAAACUCCAACUAACCAGAAAUAGUGAGAUCUCACUAACUGAAUGAGUGAAACUGAAAGAUUUGUCUUCCUUACUCUUAUUUUCAUUGUCUCACUCCUCUGUUGAUAUCUUGAGUAACAUUCCUCAAUAUGUCUCCUUUGUUUUGUGUCACACUUUUGACCAUGCUCUCUUACUCUAUUUCCCAAUAUGUGUCUCCUGGUCAGUGUGUUUGUUCUAACCCCUUUACUAAAUAAUCUUGUUCUGGUAACCUUGUAUCUGUGGCAGUUUUCCCUCCCACUACUAGCUGCCCCAACAAGCAAUUAUACUCAAAGUUCACAAUAAAAGUCCUAAGGGUUUUGUUAUCCAGUCUAUUUGCAUAGCCCCCACUACUGAAUGUGGUUUGAAAAAUAUGGAGUGGGUAGCUGAGAAACAAAAGUCACCCCUCCUUUCUUUGUGUUCCCAUAUAACUACCUUUGCCACAAUCCAUUUUACCCCCAUUAUUCUUUUCCCCGUAAUGAUAAUUUACCUAAUGCCCAAUUGUCCUCAGAGAACGGUCCCUUAGGUGAAUAGGGACUAAAAUUACAUGUGGUCCUACUCCAAACUAUAGCCAAUCACACAAGAUGUGAUUGAUGACAAAUUUUGCCUUGGAGGUAUUUUUGACCAUCUCUUUUAUUGGCUAACUAAUUUGGGAUGGUUACGCUCCCUUUUUCUGUAUGGCAUUGUUAUUAUAGUAUGCCUUAUCCUGAUGUGUUGCUGUAUACAAUGUGUACUUGGUUUAAUUUCUACAUGCAAGAGUGUUUUCUCUGUGUCUCAUUCUUCCCCCAAAUACUUAAAUCUCUCUUGACCCUGACUUGUUCUGAGUUCACCUACUUCUCUCCUGCUCUAUGUCUCUUUUGACCUCUUGAUCUUACAAUGUUAUUGCCUAACCACCAGCUGUGCCCUAAAUGUCCCUGUCUUAUCCCUAUGCAGGAUGCACUACGUCCCUAGGAUCGUCUAGAACUUUCAUACAUUGGGAAACUGGCCACUUGACAGACCAUGGAGCAUUAUCUACCUUGAUGGCCACCCCGGUCAUAACCUGUAUACCCAUACCCCACUCCUUUUUUGCUCCCUGGUGGUCCCUAUCUCUUCUGUCUUUCUGUGUUGUUUUAAUUUUUGCUUUCAUAUUGCAUUACCUUAUACUUACACUCUCUAUAUUUCCUUCACAGGUGCAGAAUUCCUUCACCUCCCAAACAUGAAAUGAUACUGCCUGACAGUAUCAUGGCACUAUUCGCCAUCAACUCUGCAAGAAUGAUGGGGAUUGUUAAUUGUUGUUAAUGAAUCUGGGAGGGGAUGUUUCUGCACUAUGUCA